UACGAAGGGGGCUAGCGUUGUUCGGAAUCACUGGGCGUAAAGCGCAUGUAGGCGGACUUGUCAGUCAGAGGUGAAAUCCCGGGGCUCAACCUCGGAACUGCCUUUGAUACUGCAAGUCUUGAGUCCGAGAGAGGUGAGUGGAAUUCCUAGUGUAGAGGUGAAAUUCAUAGAUAUUAGGAAGAACACCAGUGGCGAAGGCGGCUCACUGGCUCGGUACUGACGCUGAGAUGCGAAAGCGUGGGGAGCAAACAGG
This 253-nucleotide ribosomal RNA is filed under the name uncultured bacterium. RNAcentral describes it as "partial 16S ribosomal RNA". It matches the Rfam family "Bacterial small subunit ribosomal RNA", at positions 524 to 776 of the family's 1533-position model. The record is from RNAcentral.